GAUUCCGUAGCUCAGCAGGUAGAGCACAUCACUUUUAAUGAUGGGGUCCUGGGGUCGAGCCCCAGCGGGAUCACCA
RNAcentral lists this transfer RNA (76 nucleotides) under Prevotella sp. RNAcentral's name for it is "tRNA-Lys". It matches the Rfam family "tRNA". From Rfam's summary of the family: Transfer RNA (tRNA) molecules are approximately 80 nucleotides in length. Their secondary structure includes four short double-helical elements and three loops (D, anti-codon, and T loops). The record is from RNAcentral. Lineage: Bacteria; Pseudomonadati; Bacteroidota; Bacteroidia; Bacteroidales; Prevotellaceae.